RNAcentral lists this ribosomal RNA (466 nucleotides) under uncultured bacterium. RNAcentral describes it as "partial 16S ribosomal RNA". It matches the Rfam family "Bacterial small subunit ribosomal RNA", at positions 28 to 507 of the family's 1533-position model. The record is from RNAcentral.
GAUGAACGCUGGCGGCGUGCUUAACACAUGCAAGUCGAACGAUGAAGCCCAGCUUGCUGGGUGGAUUAGUGGCGAACGGGUGAGUAACACGUGAGUAACCGGCCCUUGACUCUGGGAUAAGCCUGGGAAACUGGGUCUAAUACUGGAUAUGACUUCUCAUCGCAUGGUGGGGGGUGGAAAGAUUUAUUGGUCUUGGAUGGACUCGCGGCCUAUCAGCUUGUUGGUGAGGUAAUGGCUCACCAAGGCGACGACGGGUAGCCGGCCUGAGAGGGUGACCGGCCACACUGGGACUGAGACACGGCCCAGACUCCUACGGGAGGCAGCAGUGGGGAAUAUUGCACAAUGGGCGCAAGCCUGAUGCAGCGACGCCGCGUGAGGGAUGACGGCCUUCGGGUUGUAAACCUCUUUCAGUAGGGAAGAAGCGAGAGUGACGGUACCUGCAGAAGAAGCGCCGGCUAACUACGUG